This 508-nucleotide ribosomal RNA is filed under the name uncultured bacterium. RNAcentral's name for it is "bacterial SSU rRNA". It matches the Rfam family "Bacterial small subunit ribosomal RNA", at positions 1001 to 1509 of the family's 1533-position model. The record is from RNAcentral.
CAGAGAUGCUUUGGUGCCUUCGGGAACUCUGAGACAGGUGCUGCAUGGCUGUCGUCAGCUCGUGUUGUGAAAUGUUGGGUUAAGUCCCGCAACGAGCGCAACCCUUAUCCUUUGUUGCCAGCGGUCCGGCCGGGAACUCAAAGGAGACUGCCAGUGAUAAACUGGAGGAAGGUGGGGAUGACGUCAAGUCAUCAUGGCCCUUACGAGUAGGGCUACACACGUGCUACAAUGGCGCAUACAAAGAGAAGCGACCUCGCGAGAGCAAGCGGACCUCAUAAAGUGCGUCGUAGUCCGGAUUGGAGUCUGCAACUCGACUCCAUGAAGUCGGAAUCGCUAGUAAUCGUGGAUCAGAAUGCCACGGUGAAUACGUUCCCGGGCCUUGUACACACCGCCCGUCACACCAUGGGAGUGGGUUGCAAAAGAAGUAGGUAGCUUAACCUUCGGGAGGGCGCUUACCACUUUGUGAUUCAUGACUGGGGUGAAGUCGUAACAAGGUAAGCGUAGUGCU